CGAGUCUUAACUGGGCGAAUGAGUUGCAGGGUAUAGACCCGAAACCCGGUGAUCUAUCCAUGGGCAGGUUGAAGGUUGGGUAACACUAACUGGAGGACCGAACCGACUAAUGUUGAAAAAUUAGCGGAUGACUUGUGGAUGGGGGUGAAAGGCCAAUCAAACCGGGAGAUAGCUGGUUCUCCCCGAAAGCUAUUUAGGUAGCGCCUCGUGAACUCAUCUUCGGGGGUAGAGCACUGUUUCGACUAGGGGGUCAUCCCGACUUACCAACUCGAUGCAAACUGCGAAUACCGAAGAAUGUUAUCACGGGAGACACACGGCGGGUGCUAACGUCCGUCGUGAAGAGGGAAACAACCCAGACCGCCAGCUAAGGUCCCAAAGUCAUGGUUAAGUGGGAAACGAAGUGGGAAGGCUCAGACAGCCAGGAUGUUGGCUUAGAAGCAGCCAUCAUUUAAAGAAAGCGUAAUAGCUCACUGGUCGAGUCGGCCCGCGCGGAAGAUGUAACGGGGCUAAACCAUGCACCGAAGCUGCGGCAGCGACACAUAGUGUUGUUGGGUAGGGGAGCGUUCUGUAAGCCUGCGAAGGUGUACUGUGAGGUAUGCUGGAGGUAUCAGAAGUGCGAAUGCUGACAUAAGUAACGAUAAUGCGGGUGAAAAACCCGCACGCCGGAAGACCAAGGGUUCCUGUCCAACGUUAAUCGGGGCAGGGUGAGUCGACCCCUAAGGCGAGGCUGAAAAGCGUAGUCGAUGGGAAACGGGUUAAUAUUCCCGUACUGGUGGUAACUGCGAUGGGGGAACGGAGAAGGCUAGGUUGUCCGGGCGACGGUCGUCCCGGUUCAAGCAGGUAGGCAGAGUGAUUAGGCAAAUCCGGUCACUUAAUGCUGAGAUGUGAUGACGAACCACCAAGGUGGUGAAGCAAUUGAUGCCCCGCUUCCAGGAAAAGCCUCUAAGCUUCAGGUUACCAACAAUCGUACCCCAAACCGACACAGGUGGUCAGGUAGAGAAUACUCAGGCGCUUGAGAGAACUCGGGUGAAGGAACUAGGCAAAAUGGUGCCGUAACUUCGGGAGAAGGCACGCUGGCGGUAG
RNAcentral lists this ribosomal RNA (1083 nucleotides) under Proteus mirabilis. RNAcentral describes it as "partial 23S ribosomal RNA". It matches the Rfam family "Bacterial large subunit ribosomal RNA", at positions 678 to 1760 of the family's 2925-position model. Lineage: Bacteria; Pseudomonadati; Pseudomonadota; Gammaproteobacteria; Enterobacterales; Morganellaceae. The record is from RNAcentral.